RNAcentral lists this ribosomal RNA (200 nucleotides) under uncultured bacterium. Its description in RNAcentral is "partial 16S ribosomal RNA". It matches the Rfam family "Bacterial small subunit ribosomal RNA", at positions 8 to 198 of the family's 1533-position model. The record is from RNAcentral.
AGAGUUUGAUCCUGGCUCAGAACGAACGCUGGCGGCGUGGAUAAGACAUGCAAGUCGGACGAGAUCUUCCGUUGUAGCAAUACGAUGGAAAGUCUAGUGGCGAACGGGUGCUUAACACGUGGGCAACCUGCCAGGAAGUGGGGGAUAGCUCGCCGAAAGGCGAAUUAAUACCGCAUGUGAUCAGAGAGGACAUCCUUUCG